UUAGAGCGCCAGAUUGUGGCUCUGGAGGUCGUGAGUUCGACUCUCAUUAUCCACCCCA
RNAcentral lists this transfer RNA (58 nucleotides) under Clostridioides difficile P2. RNAcentral's name for it is "partial tRNA-Ser". It matches the Rfam family "tRNA", at positions 19 to 71 of the family's 71-position model. Rfam says of the family: Transfer RNA (tRNA) molecules are approximately 80 nucleotides in length. Their secondary structure includes four short double-helical elements and three loops (D, anti-codon, and T loops). Lineage: Bacteria; Bacillati; Bacillota; Clostridia; Peptostreptococcales; Peptostreptococcaceae. The record is from RNAcentral.